UAACGAAUAUUCCGCAAUGGGCGAAAGCCUGACGGAGCAAUGCCGCGUGCAGGAUGAAGCGGUUUCGCCGUGUAAACUGCUGUCAGGUCCUAGGAACACUGACCGGGACCAGAGGAAGGGUCGGCUAACUCUGUGCCAGCAGCCGCGGUAAUACAGAGGACCCGAGCGUUAAUCGGAAUCACUGGGCUUAAAGGGUGCGUAGGCGGACCCGAAGGUGCAUCGUGAAAUCCCUUGGCUCAACCAAGGAAUUGCGGUGCAUACCACGGGUCUUGAGGCAAGUAAGGGCGGUCGGAACGCUCGGUGGAGCGGUGAAAUGCGUAGAUAUCGAGCGGAACGCCGAAGGUGAAGACAGGCCGCUGGGCUUGACCUGACGCUGAGGCACGAAAGCGUGGGGAUCAAA
This 400-nucleotide ribosomal RNA is filed under the name uncultured bacterium. Its description in RNAcentral is "bacterial SSU rRNA". It matches the Rfam family "Bacterial small subunit ribosomal RNA", at positions 355 to 772 of the family's 1533-position model. The record is from RNAcentral.